AGUCGAGCGGAUCUUCAUUAGCUUGCUUUUGAAGAUCAGCGGCGGACGGGUGAGUAACACGUGGGCAACCUGCCUGUAAGACUGGGAUAACUUCGGGAAACCGGAGCUAAUACCGGAUAAUCCUUUCCCUCACAUGAGGGAAAGCUGAAAGACGGUUUCGGCUGUCACUUACAGAUGGGCCCGCGGCGCAUUAGCUAGUUGGUGAGGUAACGGCUCACCAAGGCAACGAUGCGUAGCCGACCUGAGAGGGUGAUCGGCCACACUGGGACUGAGACACGGCCCAGACUCCUACGGGAGGCAGCAGUAGGGAAUCUUCCGCAAUGGACGAAAGUCUGACGGAGCAACGCCGCGUGAGCGAUGAAGGCCUUCGGGUCGUAAAGCUCUGUUGUCAGGGAAGAACAAGUACCGGAGUAACUGCCGGUACCUUGACGGUACCUGACCAGAAAGCCACGGCUAACUACGUGCCAGCAGCCGCGGUAAUACGUAGGUGGCAAGCGUUGUCCGGAAUUAUUGGGCGUAAAGCGCGCGCAGGCGGUUCCUUAAGUCUGAUGUGAAAGCCCCCGGCUCAACCGGGGAGGGUCAUUGGAAACUGGGGAACUUGAGUGCAGAAGAGGAGAGCGGAAUUCCACGUGUAGCGGUGAAAUGCGUAGAGAUGUGGAGGAACACCAGUGGCGAAGGCGGCUCUCUGGUCUGUAACUGACGCUGAGGCGCGAAAGCGUGGGGAGCGAACAGGAUUAGAUACCCUGGUAGUCCACGCCGUAAACGAUGAGUGCUAAGUGUUAGAGGGUUUCCGCCCUUUAGUGCUGCAGCAAACGCAUUAAGCACUCCGCCUGGGGAGUACGGCCGCAAGGCUGAAACUCAAAGGAAUUGACGGGGGCCCGCACAAGCGGUGGAGCAUGUGGUUUAAUUCGAAGCAACGCGAAGAACCUUACCAGGUCUUGACAUCCUCUGACAACCCUAGAGAUAGGGCUUUCCCCUUC
This 980-nucleotide ribosomal RNA is filed under the name Mesobacillus subterraneus. Its description in RNAcentral is "bacterial SSU rRNA". It matches the Rfam family "Bacterial small subunit ribosomal RNA", at positions 60 to 1022 of the family's 1533-position model. The record is from RNAcentral. Lineage: Bacteria; Bacillati; Bacillota; Bacilli; Caryophanales; Bacillaceae. RNAcentral also lists the same sequence under 2 other names.